This 1167-nucleotide unclassified non-coding RNA is filed under the name Hevea brasiliensis (rubber tree). The record is from RNAcentral. Lineage: Eukaryota; Viridiplantae; Streptophyta; Magnoliopsida; Malpighiales; Euphorbiaceae.
AUGGCCGAUAUGGAAAUAGUUCUUGUGAGAUUUUGGCAAUCCCUCUCUUUUCUCUUUCUUCUCGUUCUACCAACUUUUGACCUGCUGUUGAUACUUUUAUGCCCUUACAGCCUGAAAAGAAAAAUCCUGGUUUAACUCCAAUGGACUGGGUCAAAUUCUUGGGUACUGCUAUAGUUGGGCUGGUGAGUUGUGUGUAUGUAGUUUAUCUGUUCAUUUUCCUUUUAUUUGUCUGGUUCAAAUGCACUUGGCUUGCCUUUGUUUCAGGUUGCUGUGAUUAGUUCAGUAGAAAUGCCUAAGGCUGAUCUCUGGGUCAUUUUUGCUAUACUUUCCACUGUGAUUGGUUACUUUGCCAAGACAUACUUCACGUUAAGUCUCUUUCUCUCUAGUCUGCAUGCACAAUGACACAUUUUCUCCCUUUUGAAUCCCAAGUGUAGCUAUAGAGGUGUUCAGCAAUGUGAGUGUUGCACAUUGGUUGUGGGUAAGAAUGAAUAGAAAACUGAACAAAGAUCUUGUACAACAGAUUAACCUUGUCAAGUGAUUAUAUCUUUUUCAUUACCCUGGAAGAUAUCAAUAGCAAGAGUGUGCAUUACUAACCACAUUUUGUUGUCCUAUUCUGUUAAUCCAAUUAAAAUUGCUACAAUACUCUAGGCAGAAUUUCUUGGUUGGUUCUAAUGCCUUAAAUUUGAUUAAUUUGCUUCUAGAACUGCUAAUUUUAUCCUUUAUGUCUUAACUCUUAACUUAGGAUAUUUUUUAGGAGUGAACAUAUAUUGGGAUGAGCACUCUGACACGGGAGGGGAAUUCAACAGGCAUUAAUUUUACUAGAAUCUCUGAUAGUGGUGUGUACAAGUGUAUUCAGAUAAGGGCAAUUUAUGACAAAGGACUUGUAAUUGUAAUCAGGAAUUUUAGUAGCUGUUAUUGUUGGUUUCCAUUUUUAAGCCGUGUACUUUAAUAGAUAGUUUAUCUCCUGCAUUAGUUUUUCUUCUCUCCCUAUUUCCCCACUUUCUUUUUAGCGCUUACUGAUGCGGCUAAUGUUUCUUCAACCAUCUGCAGGUUUCAGCAAAACUUGGCUGCAUAUCAGAACUUAAUUACACAGUCCAUGUACGACAAGCAGUUAGAUAGUGGAAGGGGUACUCUUCUUCACCUGUGUGAUGAUGUGAUUCAACAAGA